UACGUAGGUGGCAAGCGUUGUCCGGAUUUAUUGGGUUUAAAGGGUGCGUAGGCGGUCCAUUAAGUCAGUGGUGAAAUACGGCAGCUUAACUGUCGAGGUGCCAUUGAUACUGGAGGACUUGAGUACAGACGAGGUAGGCGGAAUUGACGGUGUAGCGGUGAGAUGCUUAGAUAUCGUCAAGAACACCGAUAGCGAAGGCAGCUUACUAGACCGUAACUGACGCUGAGGCACGAAAGUGUGGGGAUCAAACAGGAUUAGAAACCCGUGUAGU
RNAcentral lists this ribosomal RNA (271 nucleotides) under uncultured bacterium. RNAcentral's name for it is "partial 16S ribosomal RNA". It matches the Rfam family "Bacterial small subunit ribosomal RNA", at positions 524 to 794 of the family's 1533-position model. The record is from RNAcentral.